Non-coding RNA from Macaca mulatta (Rhesus monkey), 389 nucleotides. The record is from RefSeq and is a predicted model, not a curated record. Lineage: Eukaryota; Metazoa; Chordata; Mammalia; Primates; Cercopithecidae.
CUAAAAUAAGAAGUAGACAACUGACCAAGGUACAAAGUUUGUUUCUUCUCUCAGUCUCCAAAGACUUUGCCUCUGACAUGGUCUACAUCUUCCUUCCCCAGCUCCACAUACUCACUGCUAAGAAAGAUGACCUACAUUCCAAAGGACUGGAUCGAAGGUUACAUACCAGGUCAGCCUCCUUCCUACAUAUUAGUUAUAUUUAGAGUGACCACAGAAUUUAUUUGGAAACUUUUGAGAGUAAAGAGUAUGUUACUAAUGAUUUUGCCAGAACCAGGAAUAAACAGAUUCUGUCUGGAGCAACCAAGAAGGCAUGGUUACCCUAGCAAUAUUUGUGCCCUUUCAUUUUCACAACCACAGGCUUCGUAACAAUAAAAGCUGUCGCAAGGAAG